RNAcentral lists this ribosomal RNA (863 nucleotides) under Firmicutes bacterium 00YIZ. RNAcentral's name for it is "bacterial SSU rRNA". It matches the Rfam family "Bacterial small subunit ribosomal RNA", at positions 116 to 955 of the family's 1533-position model. The record is from RNAcentral. Lineage: Bacteria; Bacillati; Bacillota.
UGGGGGCCACCUGCCUAUUAGACUGGGAUAACUUCGGGAAACCGGACCUAAUACCGGAUACGUUCUUUUCUCGCAUGAGAGAAGAUGGAAAGACGGUUUACGCUGUCACUUAUAGAUGGGCCCGCGGCGCAUUAGCUAGUUGGUGAGGUAAUGGCUCACCAAGGCGACGAUGCGUAGCCGACCUGAGAGGGUGAUCGGCCACACUGGGACUGAGACACGGCCCAGACUCCUACGGGAGGCAGCAGUAGGGAAUCUUCCGCAAUGGACGAAAGUCUGACGGAGCAACGCCGCGUGAACGAAGAAGGCCUUCGGGUCGUAAAGUUCUGUUGUUAGGGAAGAACAAGUACCAGAGUAACUGCUGGUACCUUGACGGUACCUAACCAGAAAGCCACGGCUAACUACGUGCCAGCAGCCGCGGUAAUACGUAGGUGGCAAGCGUUGUCCGGAAUUAUUGGGCGUAAAGCGCGCGCAGGUGGUUCCUUAAGUCUGAUGUGAAAGCCCACGGCUCAACCGUGGAGGGUCAUUGGAAACUGGGGAACUUGAGUGCAGAAGAGGAAAGUGGAAUUCCAAGUGUAGCGGUGAAAUGCGUAGAGAUUUGGAGGAACACCAGUGGCGAAGGCGACUUUCUGGUCUGUAACUGACACUGAGGCGCGAAAGCGUGGGGGAGCAAACAGGAUUAGAUACCCUGGUAGUCCACGCCGUAAACGAUGAGUGCUAAGUGUUAGAGGGUUUCCGCCCUUUAGUGCUGCAGCUAACGCAUUAAGCACUCCGCCUGGGGGAGUACGGGCCGGCAAGGCUGAAACUCAUAGGAAUUUGACGGGGGGCCCGCACAAGCGGGUGGGAGCAUGGUGGGUUAAUUCGGA